This 501-nucleotide ribosomal RNA is filed under the name uncultured Sphingobacteriales bacterium. RNAcentral's name for it is "bacterial SSU rRNA". It matches the Rfam family "Bacterial small subunit ribosomal RNA", at positions 903 to 1382 of the family's 1533-position model. Lineage: Bacteria; Pseudomonadati; Bacteroidota; Sphingobacteriia; Sphingobacteriales. The record is from RNAcentral.
UUGCCAGCCCGCUCAGAAACUACAAAGGAAUUGACGGGGCCCGCACAAGCGGAGGAGCAUGUGGUUUAAUUCGAUGAUACGCGAGGAACCUUACCUGGGCUCGAACGUAAGAUGACUGUAGGUGAAAGCUUACAUCUCUUCGGAGCAUUUUACGAGGUGCUGCAUGGUUGUCGUCAGCUCGUGCCGUGAGGUGUCGGGUUAAGUCCCAUAACGAGCGCAACCCCUACCUUUAGUUGCCAUCAGGUUAAGCUGGGGACUCUAAAGGAACUGCCUACGCAAGUAGUGAGGAAGGCGGGGAUGACGUCAAAUCAGCACGGCCCUUACGUCCAGGGCUACACACGUGCUACAAUGGCCGAUACAGAGGGCAGCUACCUGGUGACAGGAUGCAAAUCUCCAAAGUCGGUCUCAGUUCGGAUCGGAGUCUGCAACCCGACUCCGUGAAGUUGGAUUCGCUAGUAAUCGCGCAUCAGCCAUGGCGCGGUGAAUACGUUCCCGGGCCUU